This 253-nucleotide ribosomal RNA is filed under the name uncultured bacterium. Its description in RNAcentral is "partial 16S ribosomal RNA". It matches the Rfam family "Bacterial small subunit ribosomal RNA", at positions 524 to 776 of the family's 1533-position model. The record is from RNAcentral.
UACGUAGGGACCAAGCGUUGUUCGGAUUUACUGGGCGUAAAGGGCGCGUAGGCGGCGUGGUAAGUCACUUGUGAAAUCUCUGAGCUUAACUCAGAACGGCCAAGUGAUACUGCUGUGCUAGAGUGCAGAAGGGGCAAUCGGAAUUCUUGGUGUAGCGGUGAAAUGCGUAGAUAUCAAGAGGAACACCUGAGGUGAAGGCGGCGACCUGGGCCAAUACUGACACUGAGGUGCGAAAGCGUGGGGAGCAAACAGG